RNAcentral lists this ribosomal RNA (320 nucleotides) under uncultured Bacteroidales bacterium. RNAcentral describes it as "partial 16S ribosomal RNA". Lineage: Bacteria; Pseudomonadati; Bacteroidota; Bacteroidia; Bacteroidales. The record is from RNAcentral.
GGAGUCUGGACCGUGUCUCAGUUCCAGUGUGGGGGACCUUCCUCUCAGAACCCCUACCGAUCGUAGCCACGGUGGGCCGUUACCCCGCCGUCAAGCUAAUCGGACGCAUCCCCAUCCCAUAGCGGUGAACCUUUGGUAUUCUUCUGAUGUCAUCAAAAUACAACAUAGAGCAUUAAUCCGACUUUCGCCGGGCUAUUCUCUACUAUGGGGAAGGUUGGAUACGCGUUACUCACCCGUGCGCCGGUCGCCAUCAUCGGUUGCAAGCAACCGACAUGCUGCCCCUCGACUUGCAUGUGUUAAGCCUGUAGCUAGCGUUCAUC